UUGAACGCUGGCGGCAUGCCUUACACAUGCAAGUCGAACGGCAGCACGGGUGCUUGCCCCUGGUGGCGCGUGGCGAACGGGUGAGUAAUACAUCGGAACAUGUCCUGUAGUGGGGGAUAGCCCGGCGAAAGCCGGAUUAAUACCGCAUACGAUCUACGGAUGAAAGCGGGGGACCUUCGGGCCUCGCGCUAUAGGGUUGGCCGAUGGCUGAUUAGCUAGUUGGUGGGGUAAAGGCCUACCAAGGCGACGAUCAGUAGCUGGUCUGAGAGGACGACCAGCCACACUGGAACUGAGACACGGCCCAGACUCCUACGGGAGGCAGCAGUGGGGAAUUUUGGACAAUGGGCGAAAGCCUGAUCCAGCAAUGCCGCGUGUGUGAAGAAGGCCUUCGGGUUGUAAAGCACUUUUGUCCGGAAAGAAAUCCUUGGCCCUAAUACGGUCGGGGGAUGACGGUACCGGAAGAAUAAGCACCGGCUAACUACGUG
Molecule: ribosomal RNA, 485 nt
Filed under: uncultured bacterium
Lineage: Bacteria
Description: partial 16S ribosomal RNA
Rfam family: Bacterial small subunit ribosomal RNA
Source: RNAcentral